Molecule: ribosomal RNA, 305 nt
Filed under: uncultured bacterium
Lineage: Bacteria
Description: bacterial SSU rRNA
Rfam family: Bacterial small subunit ribosomal RNA
Source: RNAcentral
UCCUACGGGGGGCAGCAGUGAGGAAUAUUGGUCAAUGGACGAGAGUCUGAACCAGCCAAGUAGCGUGAAGGAUGACUGCCCUAUGGGUUGUAAACUUCUUUUAUAUGGGAAUAAAAUGUUCCACGUGUGGGAUUUUGUAUGUACCAUAUGAAUAAGGAUCGGCUAACUCCGUGCCAGCAGCCGCGGUAAUACGGAGGAUGCGAGCGUUAUCCGGAUUUAUUGGGUUUAAAGGGUGCGUAGGCGGUCCGGAAAGUCAGCGGUAAAAGCCCGGGGCUCAACCCCGGCGAGCCGUUGAAACUGUCGGA